Molecule: transfer RNA, 91 nt
Filed under: Shewanella piezotolerans WP3
Lineage: Bacteria; Pseudomonadati; Pseudomonadota; Gammaproteobacteria; Alteromonadales; Shewanellaceae
Description: tRNA-OTHER
Source: RNAcentral
CCAAUAUCCUUGAUAUUGGCUAUACCUAUAGCUUUAUUGCCGUGCCAAGUCGACUGGUAUAGGGAAACUGUUACACCGUCACAGGCAAGCA